Molecule: ribosomal RNA, 256 nt
Filed under: uncultured bacterium
Lineage: Bacteria
Description: partial 16S ribosomal RNA
Rfam family: Bacterial small subunit ribosomal RNA
Source: RNAcentral
UGGCGGACGGGUGAGUAAUGUCUGGGAAACUGCCUGAUGGAGGGGGAUAACUACUGGAAACGGUAGCUAAUACCGCAUAACGUCGCAAGACCAAAGAGGGGGACCCUCGGGCCUCUUGCCAUCGGAUGUGCCCAGAUGGGAUUAGCUAGUAGGUGGGGUAACGGCUCACCUAGGCGACGAUCCCUAGCUGGUCUGAGAGGAUGACCAGCCACACUGGAACUGAGACACGGUCCAGACUCCUACGGGAGGCAGCAUG